RNAcentral lists this transfer RNA (71 nucleotides) under Bos taurus (domestic cattle). It matches the Rfam family "tRNA". Rfam says of the family: Transfer RNA (tRNA) molecules are approximately 80 nucleotides in length. Their secondary structure includes four short double-helical elements and three loops (D, anti-codon, and T loops). The record is from Rfam by way of RNAcentral. RNAcentral also lists the same sequence under 3 other names. Lineage: Eukaryota; Metazoa; Chordata; Mammalia; Artiodactyla; Bovidae.
UCCUGGUGGCUCAGAGGUUAAAGCGUCUGCCUCCAAUGCAGGAGACCCAGGUUCGAUCCCUGGGUCGGGAA